UGGAUCAGUGGCGAAAGGGUGAGUAACGCGUGAGUAAUCUGCCCUCAAGUUGGGAAUAAUUCUCCGAAAGGAGGACUAAUACCUGAUGCGGUUAUAGAAAUGCAUAUUAUUAUAACCAAAGAUUUAUCGCUUGAGGAUGAGCUCGCGUCCCAUUAGCUAGUUGGUAGGGUAACGGCCUACCAAGGCAAUGACGGGUAGGUGGUCUGAGAGGAUGGUCACCCACACUGGGACUGAGACACUGCCCAGACUCC
Molecule: ribosomal RNA, 251 nt
Filed under: uncultured bacterium
Lineage: Bacteria
Description: partial 16S ribosomal RNA
Rfam family: Bacterial small subunit ribosomal RNA
Source: RNAcentral